Molecule: long non-coding RNA, 253 nt
Filed under: Panthera leo (lion)
Lineage: Eukaryota; Metazoa; Chordata; Mammalia; Carnivora; Felidae
Description: lncRNA (ENSPLOG00000004152.1)
Source: RNAcentral
AGCCGGGAGACUGCACAGUGCCAGUGGUGUAAAAUGUGUUUUCCUUAUCUUCUCCCAGGCGUUCUUGAGAUGGUUUUCCUGGUCCUGUAACCGUCAUUUCUUGCAGAGCUCUGUAGUGGUGAGAUUGGACCCUACGGAUACGACAGUAUUGCAGAACGGUACUUUGAGCCUCUUUCUUCCUCAUUGGUUGUCCAUCAUCUUCACCCCUACACCAGGUGGGACUGGUUUAUUUGCCUGUUCACAAGAGCAGUGA